AGGACGAACGCUGGCGGCGUGCUUAACACAUGCAAGUCGAGCGGAAAGGCCCUUCGGGGUACUCGAGCGGCGAACGGGUGAGUAACACGUGAGUAAUCUGCCCCUAGCUCUGGGAUAGCUCCGGGAAACCGGGAUUAAUACCGGAUACGACCACCCUUUAGACAUCUUUUGUGGGUGGAAAAGUAAUUUCGGCGUAGGGAUGAGCUCGCGGCCUAUCAGCUUGGUUGGUGGGUAACGCCUACCAAGGCGACGAC
RNAcentral lists this ribosomal RNA (254 nucleotides) under uncultured bacterium. Its description in RNAcentral is "partial small subunit ribosomal RNA". It matches the Rfam family "Bacterial small subunit ribosomal RNA", at positions 26 to 280 of the family's 1533-position model. The record is from RNAcentral.